This 465-nucleotide ribosomal RNA is filed under the name Vreelandella stevensii. RNAcentral describes it as "partial 16S ribosomal RNA". It matches the Rfam family "Bacterial small subunit ribosomal RNA", at positions 338 to 795 of the family's 1533-position model. Lineage: Bacteria; Pseudomonadati; Pseudomonadota; Gammaproteobacteria; Oceanospirillales; Halomonadaceae. The record is from RNAcentral.
CCUACGGGUGGCAGCAGUGGGGAAUAUUGGACAAUGGGGGGAACCCUGAUCCAGCCAUGCCGCGUGUGUGAAGAAGGCCCUCGGGUUGUAAAGCACUUUCAGUGAGGAAGAACGCCUGGUGGUUAAUACCCAUCAGGAAAGACAUCACUCACAGAAGAAGCACCGGCUAACUCCGUGCCAGCAGCCGCGGUAAUACGGAGGGUGCGAGCGUUAAUCGGAAUUACUGGGCGUAAAGCGCGCGUAGGUGGCUUGAUAAGCCGGUUGUGAAAGCCCCGGGCUCAACCUGGGAACGGCAUCCGGAACUGUCAAGCUAGAGUGCAGGAGAGGAAGGUAGAAUUCCCGGUGUAGCGGUGAAAUGCGUAGAGAUCGGGAGGAAUACCAGUGGCGAAGGCGGCAUUCUGGACUGACACUGACACUGAGGUGCGAAAGCGUGGGUAGCAAACAGGAUUAGAUACCCGGGUAGUC